GAGGGAGGCGCGCCGCCGUCGCGUCGCUCGCUCGGUCCUCGCCGACGGUAGCAGCCCGCGCCGGAGAGGAGCGUCAAAGAAGACCCGGGCUAGCCUUCUCGGUGGCCGCUGGCUGUUUCGUUUGCCUGUGUGGUGUGUUGGUGUGCGUGUGGCUAGCUUUAGGAGGUUGUGGGUUCGUAGUGUUCGCGCUGCAUAAAAAAAGGUGCCGCUACUGCUCGAAUAAGGGUGCCCGUACGUGUUGGUUUCGCGUGUGCGGUGUGUGUGCCCGAAACCAGCGAAUGUGUGCUCCGGUUGCUGCCUCGGAAUGCGGAAUCCCAGCGACUGUGCCCUGCUGACUUCUUCGGCGGCGUCGUUGUGCGUUUGAGUGAGUGAGAGAGAUGUUCUCAUCCGUUUAGAAAAAGAAAAAACCUACGGGCGCCGCUACUUCUACCAGCUGCUGCGAACCGUAGGAACGAGUCGUGAAGUGUUUGAGGCAUCGGAGACCAAGAAAGGAGAGAGGGACAGGCGGCUAGCAAAACAACAACACAAGGCCGGUUGGGACACCGAAAUAUAAAGGUGCUGACGUCAGGUGUCCGCCACCAGCAUAUACGCGAAAGUGGCGUCCGGUCGGGGAGUUGACCAGCGUCCACCGUUGGCCUCGGUCUCUGGAUUAAAUCGGCGGCUCUCGUCAUGCGUCCGCGACGGAUUGGGCUUACCGGGGCCUUGAGUCGUGGAACCGGAAGCCAUGAGCGGGUGCGCGGCCGGAGACCGUCCUGAGGAAGGCCACUUCCUCCUCUUCCUCGGGUGCCGGCCCGUCCUCCUUUCCAAGGUCCACAACGCCGGGAUUCUCAUCGCACCAUCGCACCGGACUUCUAGCCCCCGUCAUCUGACCACGUCACUUCCGGCCGCCGUUUGCUCCGUUUCUCGGACCGACGAAUCGCUUGU
This is a long non-coding RNA of Rhipicephalus sanguineus (brown dog tick), 924 nucleotides long. RefSeq lists it as uncharacterized. The record is from RefSeq and is a predicted model, not a curated record. NCBI's taxonomy places the organism in Eukaryota, Metazoa, Arthropoda, Arachnida, Ixodida, Ixodidae. The transcript is spliced from 4 exons.